AGCUCUCUGCUAAAGCUAAAUGCUGAAGUAUGGAGGGUGAAGCCUGCCCGAUGGUUGUAUCUGAAAAGGUUGGCUAAAGUCAACUUUAUAAGGGCAAUUGAAUGGCCGCGGUAACACUGACCGUGAUAAUGUAGCGUAAUCAAUAGCCAAUUAAUUGUUGGCCGGUAUGAAUGGCAUCACGAAGGCCCCACUGUCUUAAGAGGACUCUCCAUGAAAUUGAAUUCGUAGUGAAGAUGCUACGUCCAUAUUGUAAGACGAAAAGACCCCAUUGAGCUUUACUAAAGACUUGUAUGGCUCGAAUAACUUAAAUAAAAAGUUUAGAUAAUGUGGGAUCCGUUUUUGGUUAAUGAAACACCACUCUUUUAUUUUAAGAGAGCUAACCUUGUAGGGAUAAUGCAAGUUGGAUAGUUUGGUUGGGGCGACCACCUUUUAAAAGGUAACGAAGGUGAGCUUAAGGUCCGUAGUUAAUAGCUAGUGGCCUGACUGCAAGGGGGACAUCCCGAGCAGACACGUCCUUAGGGAUGUGGGUUAUAAUGACCCGUCAUCUUAGAGUGGAAUAGUUGACGAUCAACGAAUAAAAGCUACCAUGGGGAUAACAGCGUUAUAUCGUUAGAGAGCUUUAUCGACGACGAUGUUUGCGACCUCGAUGUUGAAUUGCGGCACCCUGGGGUGCAGCCGCCCCCAAGGGUUGGUCUGUUCGUCCAUUAAAGCCGUACA
This 717-nucleotide ribosomal RNA is filed under the name Paranthus rapiformis. Its description in RNAcentral is "partial 16S ribosomal RNA". It matches the Rfam family "Bacterial large subunit ribosomal RNA", at positions 1817 to 2600 of the family's 2925-position model. The record is from RNAcentral. Lineage: Eukaryota; Metazoa; Cnidaria; Anthozoa; Actiniaria; Actinostolidae.